Molecule: ribosomal RNA, 216 nt
Filed under: Glomeromycotina sp.
Lineage: Eukaryota; Fungi; Glomeromycota
Description: partial small subunit ribosomal RNA
Rfam family: Eukaryotic small subunit ribosomal RNA (bases 40-216)
Source: RNAcentral
GGGUCAGUAGGCUGGUCGUGCCACCGGUACGUACUGGUCUCACUGAUUCCUCCUUCCUGAAGAACCGUAAUGCGAUUAAUUUGGUGUUGCGGGGAAACAGGACUGUUACUUUGAAAAAAUUAGAGUGUAUAAAGCAAGCUAACGCUUGAAUACAUUAGCAGGGAAUAAUGAAAUAGGACGAUCGAUCCUAUUUUGUUGGUUUCUAGGAUUGACGUA